CGCGUAGGCGGUUUGAUAAGUCGGAUGUGAAAGCCCCGGGCUCAACCUGGGAAUUGCAUUCGAUACUGUCUGACUAGAGUAUGAUAGAGGGUAGUGGAAUUCCCGGUGUAGCGGUGAAAUGCAUAGAUAUCGGGAGGAACAUCAGUGGCGAAGGCGACUACCUGGAUCAAUACUGACGCUGAGGUGCGAAAGCGUGGGGAGCAAACA
Molecule: ribosomal RNA, 207 nt
Filed under: uncultured bacterium
Lineage: Bacteria
Description: partial 16S ribosomal RNA
Rfam family: Bacterial small subunit ribosomal RNA
Source: RNAcentral